Molecule: ribosomal RNA, 253 nt
Filed under: uncultured bacterium
Lineage: Bacteria
Description: partial 16S ribosomal RNA
Rfam family: Bacterial small subunit ribosomal RNA
Source: RNAcentral
UACGUAGGUGGCAAGCGUUGUCCGGAAUUAUUGGGCGUAAAGCGCGCGCAGGCGGUUCUUUAAGUCUGAUGUGAAAGCCCACGGCUCAACCGUGGAGGGUCAUUGGAAACUGGAGAACUUGAGGACAGAAGAGGAAAGCGGAAUUCCACGUGUAGCGGUGAAAUGCGUAGAGAUGUGGAGGAACACCAGUGGCGAAGGCGGCUUUCUGGACUGUAACUGACACUGAGGCACGAAAGCGUGGGGAGCAAACAGG